UCGGGAAUUUUGGGCAAUGGGGGAAACCCUGACCCAGCAACGCCGCGUGAAGGAUGAAGUAUUUCGGUAUGUAAACUUCGAAAGAAUAGGAAGAAUAAAUGACGGUACUAUUUAUAAGCUCCGGCUAACUACGUGCCAGCAGCCGCGGUAAUACGUAGGGAGCAAGCGUUGUUCGGAUUUACUGGGCGUAAAGGGCGCGUAGGCGGCGCGGUAAGUCACUUGUGAAAUCUCUGAGCUUAACUCAGAACGGCCAAGUGAUACUGCAGUGCUAGAGUGCAGAAGGGGCAAUCGGAAUUCUUGGUGUAGCGGUGAAAUGCGUAGAUAUCAAGAGGAACACCUGAGGUGAAGACGGGUUGCUGGGCUGACACUGACGCUGAGGCGCGAAAGCCAGGGGAGCAAACGGGAUUAGAUACCCCAGUAGUCCCUGAGCGGGCUGGCAAGGCGCAU
RNAcentral lists this ribosomal RNA (447 nucleotides) under uncultured bacterium. RNAcentral describes it as "bacterial SSU rRNA". It matches the Rfam family "Bacterial small subunit ribosomal RNA", at positions 355 to 825 of the family's 1533-position model. The record is from RNAcentral.